This 2838-nucleotide unclassified non-coding RNA is filed under the name Hevea brasiliensis (rubber tree). Lineage: Eukaryota; Viridiplantae; Streptophyta; Magnoliopsida; Malpighiales; Euphorbiaceae. The record is from RNAcentral.
AAAAAAAAAAAAAAAGAGAAAAAUGUUUGGAUCUUCGUAGCCUUUUUUAAGCUUUUGAUUGUGCUAAACUUGGUAUGUGAUUAGAAUGGCUGUCCGUGGCAAUUAAACGGGGUUGCUAAGAAAUUGGAUUUCAUUUUUGUGAUCAUGCGAAAUUUGGUUUAUUGGUUUUUAUGAUCCGUGUUGAGAUUGUGAAUGUGGAGGUUAUAUGGGAAUUUAGAUAUGUUUUCUAUCAUGCUGUUGCUUUUCUUAUAUAGGCUUCAUUGCUUAGAGUUUACUGUUUUUGCUGCUUUUUUUUUUUAAUGUGUCAAAUUCGUUGCUAUCCAAAUUUAUUUGAGAAGUUAUCAAAGUAUUUAUACACGGUUAGUUGAUUUAAAGUUUUGAGAUUGAAUUUGAACUUUUAUGCUUUCUCCAUCCCACAAAUAUUGUCCUCGCUGAGAUCUUUGAUUCAGUGCACUGUUUAAGAAAAACAAUAAUAGAGUGAUGUAACAUAAACUUUGAGCUUCCUAAAUUUAGUUUUCUUCAGUGCUUGGCCACUUAAUGAAUACUGUACCCUCUAUAAAAUAAUUCAUAAUACAAAGUAAGGGGUAAUAUAGGAAAGUUAAGAAAAAUGAUGCUUUUGACUUUGAUAAUAGACAAAUAAAUUGGAAUGAAAAAGAGAGGGAGUAGUUAGCAAAAUAGGAAAGGGGAAAUUGGUUGUAGAAGUUUAUUGGUUAAUGAAAGUAGAAGUUUCAUACGAAGAAAAACACGUGUAAGCUGGGAAAAGUUAUGUUGAAUGUUGAUACAAAAAAAUUUGCAUUGCUAGAGAAGUUGCUUUCAAAAUGGAUGGAACCAUUGUUUGUGCCACAAAGCAAUUUAUUGUACAACAAGUGUUGCAUCCAGUGGUUUGGACACAGCAAUUGUUGCUUUUGCAAUGAUAGCACUUUUUUAUAGAUGGUAUUCUUUUUAAUAGUUGAUCAUGAUAUCAAUGGAUGAUGGUGUGUUUGGCUUACUAGUUAAAUAUCUUUGUUUAUGUAGCGAUUGUAAUUAUUUACGGGCAAAAUCCACUAUCUCUGUUCAUGAUGAUAACUGGGUUUAGCAGUAUAGUUAAUUCUCUUAAGCACUGGUAUAUGAGUUCAGUAGUUUAAUGUCAGAAUGCAGUUGCUUUGAAUGCAGCAAUUAGAUGCCAACUGUUCUGUAGUUUACUUUUUGUUUCAAAUUUAUGCAGUAGCUUACUUUUUUUUUUGAAUAUAUGCGCUAAGGCUGGUGUUUGUUACACAUUAUGCAAAAUGAAAUUAAAGAAUGAACUUUUAUAUGAAUUUAAUCAAGUAAUGCACUGACUUCUUAUUGAAGAGUGUUUCAUGCCAAUUGGACACUAUAUGGAUGCCUUACGUGUUUUAUCUGGGCCUUCCUUUUUGUUUUCAAAUUCAAUAUCUUGCAUGUAUUUUUUCCCCUUUUGUAAUUCUGGACCCUGUUCUACUUGAAUUUGAUGGCUGGGUCUCUUGUAACUGAAAGUGUGCUUCAGCUCUCAGGUGGCUGCAUAACAAACAUGAUUUUGCACUUAGUUGUUUUGGCAGAUACAUGUCCUGAAUACUGAUUUAGAUUUCCUAUGUGGAAUGUGUAUGCAAACUUAGCAAUUUAGUUGACAAUGAUGUGCUCCCUGUCAUGGCCUAUCUUGUUGGUUCCUUGGCGGUAUCCAAAAAUAUUCAGUUGGCAUCAUUUGGUUUUUGAGAAGAGGCCAACAAGCCCAUAGCUUGGAUAAUUUCUUUUUAGCUUGGUUGCAUCAUGCUGCUGGCAUUUGAUUUAUGCACAUGUGUGCAAGAAAGAGAGACAGAAAUUGGAAUGUAUUUUUUUUUUUGUUUAACUAAUAUUCGUUUAUGAUUUAAUGUGGGUUUGGUUGUCUUUUGCAAUGGGGUGGUUGCUCUCUCUUUCUAAUCUGUAGUAUCAGCAUCUUGCAAUUUGUGAAAGUUGUUGAAGGGAAUACCUUCUAUGCUGGCAAUUUCUUAACUUGUGUGCUUUGUUCUAGACACUGAUGGAUUUGUGAUUCCAAGCUUGGGAAUAGAAGGGCCAGAUCACGGGAGACCUGAUGCUUCUGCAGUAGAACCAUCAAAACCUCCUUCUCCAAAGGUCAAUUGCAAUUGUGAAAUUCAUACUAGUAGUUGCUCAAAAUGCCAGUGAUUUAGACUUUGAGUAUGCGUACAUGAAGAUAAUUGCUAUAAUCUAUUUGUGCAACUAUCCUCCUUCCGCAGGCUAAAAAAGAAGAGAACAUUUACCUAGGACCUCACGGGGCUCCACCUUCGCAAUCAAAGCAGCAAGAGCUGAACCAUUCUGGUCGUAAACAGCGGUUCAAGCAGAAACUGAAGGAAGCGGAUAGGAGAAUUACUGGAACAGGGAGGGAAAAUAAGUUAGAGAAUCUGCGAGAGCUAGUAGGUGGAGGGAGGGGAAGUCCCAACAUGGCAAAGGGUUCUCCCAGGGACUGGUUAGACCCACAUUGCCAUGAAUCACAGUUUGAGAAGUGGUCCUCUCAGUGAGUGGAUUAUUUGGUACCUAAUAUUAUCUCUCUAGUUUAACAUUGGCACAAACUAUUUCAAGCUUCAAUAUCUUUAGAGAUGCAUAUUUUAUUGAAAUCCAUGUAUUAUGACAAUAAUCCUUCAUCAAUUGGACUAUUUGGUGAUGCUGCGAAAACAGAAUAUAUUAUGAUAAUGGACGUUAGCCCUUUAAACCUAUUCGCAGGGCAUUUGAACUUGCCUAUUUAUGACUUGGUAUUGCUUCCAUUGAAUAUGCAACACGCACACUAACAGUGGUAAAGCAGAAUAUAUGCAGGUAUGUUAAUGUAUGAGUCGGCAAUCAUGGGGAAUGAAC